AACGAACGCUGGCGGCGUGGAUAAGACAUGCAAGUCGAACGGGAUUACUUUUGUAGCAAUACAAAAGUAGUUCAGUGGCGCAAGGGUGCGUAACACGUGGGCAAUCUGCCGAGAUGUGGGGAUAGCUCGCCGAAAGGCGAAUUAAUACCGCAUGUGAUUAGGGAAGACAUCUUUCCGACAUCAAAGCCGGGGCAACCUGGCGCAUCUUGAUGAGCCCGCGGCCUAUCAGCUAGUUGGCGAGGUAAUGGCUCACCAAGGCUAUGACGGGUAGCUGGUCUGAGAGGACGACCAGUCACACUGGAACUGAGACACGGUCCAGACACC
RNAcentral lists this ribosomal RNA (324 nucleotides) under uncultured bacterium. RNAcentral's name for it is "bacterial SSU rRNA". It matches the Rfam family "Bacterial small subunit ribosomal RNA", at positions 29 to 339 of the family's 1533-position model. The record is from RNAcentral.